UAAUAAUUUAGCAGAUGAAUGCAAUUGAUUUAGAAUCAAUAGGAAACAAAUAGUUAAUUAUUAA
This 64-nucleotide transfer RNA is filed under the name Aegista diversifamilia. RNAcentral describes it as "tRNA-Leu". The record is from RNAcentral. Lineage: Eukaryota; Metazoa; Mollusca; Gastropoda; Stylommatophora; Camaenidae.